AGGCAAAAGGGAUGUGAGCACAGAUGAAAUGAGGGCUGGUGGGGAAGGCAACAGCAUGAGGAAGAAGAGUGGAUGCCCCAAAAAUAUAGACCGGAAAUCAACCAUGGGAGCAUGAAGGCGAGCAGCUCUCCUCCACCUUGCCCUUCCGCCACACUGUCUUUGUUCUGUCCCGUGCCUAAAAAGCACUCACCGUCCGCCAGCCGACAAGGCAUGGGCGCAUCUGAAACUGGGGACCUCUCUUCCCCAACAAGGAAAACCCUUCCCCCUUAAAGGCAUUUUUCUUAGGAGUUUUUAACCACAGCCGCAAACUGACACAACCAAGUAGGGGACUACCGACGUUGUAUUUAAAGAGUUUCCGCUCUGGCGAUGGAACAAGGCUGAAUCCUUCUCAGCAUCCUGAUACAAGAGGGUCUCGCUGUGAAGCCUUGGUUGGACUGGAACUUGUUAUGUGGAUCAGGUCACCCUCAAAUUCACAGAGAUCUGCCUGCCUCUACCUCCCCAGUGUUGGGAUUAAAGGCAAUUACUACCCUAUCCCGCCAAUCCCAAACUUUUAAUAAAA
Molecule: non-coding RNA, 559 nt
Organism: Peromyscus maniculatus bairdii (prairie deer mouse)
Lineage: Eukaryota; Metazoa; Chordata; Mammalia; Rodentia; Cricetidae
Source: RefSeq, a predicted model, not a curated record